GUUGGUGAACCAGCGGAGGGAUCAUUACAGAGUUGCAAAACUCCCAACCAUUGUGAACCUACCUUACCGUUGCUUCGGCGGGUGGCCAGGGGUAACCCAGGCCGCGCCGGCCCCCCUCGCGGGGCUGGCAACCCGUCAGAAGCCUGAAACUCUAGCAUAUUGGCCUCUCUGAGUAAACUUAAUUAAUAAAUUAAAACUUUUAACAACGGAUCUCUUGGUUCUG
This 223-nucleotide unclassified non-coding RNA is filed under the name rhizosphere metagenome. RNAcentral's name for it is "partial ribosomal RNA internal transcribed spacer region". The record is from RNAcentral.